RNA transcript from Mustela lutreola (European mink), 12797 nucleotides. It is a transcript of the gene named zinc finger protein 35, with no coding region annotated. NCBI's taxonomy places the organism in Eukaryota, Metazoa, Chordata, Mammalia, Carnivora, Mustelidae. The transcript is spliced from 5 exons. The record is from RefSeq and is a predicted model, not a curated record.
AUCCCUGGUCCGAGGCUGUAUUGGACACCCACCGAGAAGACAGCACCUCCGAGAUUCCUAGAGAGGCCGGCCUGGCGACUUGGGAAGCCGGAAGCCCGUCUCGAGGCACUUCCUGUCCGGUCAUUGUUCUCGCGCCGCCAGGCGUAGUUCGUUGGAUCCUGCCAGCCUUUUGCUACAAAGGCCGCGAGCUCCGGCCGUCUCUCUUCCGUGAACACGACAGCCUUCAUCUUGGCCCUGGGAAGAAAUUCGGAAAGAAGUUUUUGAAACUUAAAGAUUAGAUGGGGCUUGACCUCUGCUGGGCAGCCCCCAGCUAUAAGAGUUCCUGUCCUGAGCAAAGAAGAUGAGUGCACAACCAAGAGAGGCCAUGGCCUUAGCUCCCUGGGGCUCAUUGACAGUGAAAAAGGAGGAGGAAGAGGAAGAAAACUUCAUGGGUCAGGCAUCCAGUCAACAAGUACACUCUGAGAACAUAAAAAUCUGGGCUUCUGGGGAAGGUCCUCAGACAGGCCUUGAUAUAUCAGAACAGGAGAAAAAGGGUCCAAACUUGUUUUGGGACAUGGCUGUCAUCCUGAAAGCAACACAGGAGGCACCUGCUACCUCAGCCAUUGGCAGCUACUCAUUACCAGGGACUCUGGCCAAGAGUGAGAUACUGGAGACUCAUGGGAUCAUGACCUCUCUAGGUGCUGAAACCAAGAACCCACAGUUAUUGGUUCCAAAAACUGAGAUAUGUGAUGAAGCAGAAAAACCAUUCAUAAAGUCAGGAAGAAUCCAGAAAGUUAAUCCUCAAGGACCUGAGUUAGGAGAAGCCUGUGAAAAAGGGAACAUGUUAAAGAGGCAGAGAAUUAAGAGGGAAAAGAAAGAUUUCAGACAUGUGACAGUGAAGGACUGUCAUGUACCUGAAAGCUUCAAAGUAGAGGAAGAUCAGAAAUGUCAGAAAUCUGGGGAAAGAUACAGUCUUAGUUGUAGCUCUUUAAAAAAUCAGAAGAGCCAGCCUGGACAGAAACCUUUUACUUGUAGUGUGUGUGGGAAAGGCUUUAGUCAGAGUGCAAACCUCGUGGUGCAUCAGCGAAUCCACACAGGGGAGAAGCCCUUCGAAUGUCAUGAGUGUGGGAAAGCCUUCAUUCAGAGUGCAAACCUUGUUGUGCAUCAGCGAAUCCAUACUGGACAGAAACCAUAUGUUUGUUCAAAAUGUGGGAAAGCCUUCACUCAGAGUUCAAAUCUGACCGUACAUCAAAAAAUCCACUCCUUAGAAAAAACCUUUAAGUGCAGUGAAUGUGAAAAAGCCUUCAGUUAUAGCUCACAACUUGCUCGGCACCAGAAAGUUCACAUUACAGAAAAAUGCUAUGAAUGUAAUGAGUGUGGGAAAACAUUUACUCGGAGCUCAAACCUCAUUGUCCACCAGAGGAUCCACACUGGGGAGAAGCCCUUUGCCUGUAAUGAUUGUGGCAAAGCCUUCACCCAGAGUGCAAAUCUUAUUGUACAUCAACGAAGCCAUACUGGUGAAAAGCCAUAUGAGUGUAAAGAGUGUGGAAAAGCCUUUAGUUGUUUUUCACACCUUAUUGUGCACCAGAGAAUUCACACUGCGGAGAAACCUUAUGAUUGCAGUGAGUGUGGAAAAGCCUUUAGUCAGCUGUCUUGCCUUAUUGUGCAUCAGAGGAUUCACAGUGGAGAUCUUCCUUAUGUGUGUAAUGAGUGUGGGAAGGCCUUCACGUGUAGCUCAUACCUGCUUAUUCAUCAGAGAAUUCAUAAUGGGGAAAAACCUUACACAUGCAAUGAGUGUGGCAAGGCCUUCCGGCAGAGGUCAAGCCUCACUGUGCACCAGAGAACCCACACUGGGGAGAAGCCCUAUGAGUGUGCCAAGUGUGGUGCAGCUUUCAUUUCUAACUCACACCUCAUGCGACACCACAGAACCCAUCUUGUUGAGUAAUAAGUACUUGUUACUCCAGGCAUUGAUCAUAAUCCACUACACCCUAAUUGGACACGUCUUUGCUGUUUUGUUCCUCUUAAAAAUGAGACCCACCAUGUUCUUAAAAGUAACAGUAUUCAAGAAUGUAUCACAGAAGCAUUUUAGAGGCUGACAAAAAACAUGGAAGCUAAGCCCCUAAAGGCAAGGACUCCUUUUUUAACUGUGCCAGCAUUGGUCAUGUUUGAAACGGAACGUGGCUUUCUUAGAAAUGGGUCAUACAACCCUAAGUGAUAAAGAUCCUAUUUGAGGAAAGGUAUUUUAACUUGUUUUUUAAAACUCUUAGUUUCUUGAGCAACGGUCAGGUUAUUGCUAUAGGGCUGCGUGGUGGGAUUCUGAACUUUGAAUCUUGUAUUCUAGUAUUUUGGGUUAGGAAGCAGUGAUUAGUUAAGGAGACUGCAUGGGGUAGCAAUUCACCAACAACUCACCUGUGAACAUUUAUAAGCUUUCCAUUCCUUAGGCAAUUGAAACAUUAAAAGAAAACCAAAACAUUAUCUAUUGCUCCUAAAAUGGAUAGACGUAGGAAACAGCUGUUUCUCUUAAUUGUGUAUACCUCAUGAACCUUAUUAUGGUAAAGCUCUAGGGACAUCUCAUGAGUCUUCCAUUCUGCCAUCUAUGUGGCCAAGCACUUGAGGAUUGAUGGAGAAAAAACACGGGGCCCACAAAUACUGCCAGGCAGUAUUCAUUUGCUAACAUCAACAACUCUCCCAAGUGACCCUGACUUCAUUGCAUUCCAUCAUAAUGAGAUACCUCUAAUAGUCCCCUACCCAGAUGGAGGAGUCAAAGAAUAAAGCUUGCAGAGAGGCAUGCCUGUAUUACCUAUGCUCGUUCUGCUCAGACCCAGCCAAGGGUCUCAGUUUGAGUGUCAUUCUCACUUUUUGGCUGGUCUUCAGAAGAAAUAAUGGAGUCCUAAUUUUGAGAGGACCAAAGAGGGAAAUACAGGAAGAGGGAGGAGGCAGAGUGGGACUCCUAAGGUCCUUACUUUUUUGAGAAGUUCAAAGGUCUUGGAAUGUGAAAACUUAGAAAGAUGAAGAAACUGGCUAAGGUAAGAUAAACUUUUGUUACCAUUGAGCCUUUAUUCCUGGAAAAAAUGAUUUAUAAAACUAUGCAAUAGGUAGAGCUAUAUAAUAUUGCCUUGUAUUUAAUAUAGAACUUAAUUCUUUGUUUAUAUACCUUCAUGUAUAGAAUCAAAGUCCCCCAAUUCUUCUCUUACACUUUCACAUAGAUCCUUAGAACACUGAAAGAAGUGUUUGCCCCAUUUAACUGAAAGUGGUCAAACAACAAAGAACAGCCUACGUUCAAAUCCAGGAUUUAAAUCCAGGUUCUCUGUUCUGCUGUGCUGUGUCUAACCACCUGUAAUUCCCACUCAGAUCUACCGAGAGCCUGAGAAAGGUAUAUGGUCUCUUUCAGGUGAGGAAGCUGAGGUGACAGAUUUUCGGAUGUGCCUUAGGCAGUGUGACUAGUAAGCAGCAAAUCUGAGACUGAAAUUUGAGUCUCCCCAAGUUCUGGGUCUGCCUCUUCACCCUGCUGGGCAAAAGCAUAUUAAAAAAGCCCUACCUGGUAAUAAGCUAUCUGGUGCAACUCUCAUGUAGAAGUCCCACCAUUGGGACUCUUGCUGGCGCAUUUGUUUUAUAUUUUACAGAGCACUUUCAUGUACAGACAGCAUAAACAAGAAAGCAUAUUUCCUCUUUCUCCCCUUCAACCAUGGUCUUUCAUUCAAGCAUGUGCAUCACUGUUUGCACUCUAAAAUCAUACAGACAAUUCUAAGAAAUUAAUAGGAUUCAAAAGAGAAUCAAAAAGGCUCAUGCAUUCGCUGACCUUGAAGGUAACUGUUCCUGUCCCCCACCUGGGAGUGGAGAGGUCCAAAGAUAAUACUAUGUAUCUGCUGAGAAACGAGCUUGGGGCCCCCCCCCCCCCCCCCCCCACUGCAGGAUUAGGAAGCCCAGAAGAGAGGGAGAGCAGGUCUGAAGAUUGGGAAUAAAUCUGUGACAUGGACCUGUCAAAAGACCAAAAGUGCACUUUCCUGAAAGAUACCAACCAGGUUAGGAUCCUUAGGACAGCUAAAUUGUUUUAGCUUCAUAUUGUAUGUUCAUCCUCCUAUUUGAAUGCUUGUCAUGGAUGAUUGUGAUUUCCUGGCUAAAGAUUGUUGUUCAUAGGCAGUUCAAAAAGGCCAUGCAGGUGAUUGUGAUGUAAAGCUAGAUUUGGGCAUCACUGACCCAGCCUUGUAGUGUAACAGUGGUAUUCACUUGACUACAUGUUAAAAUCACCUAGUAUACUUAAAAAAAUUUUUUUUUCAUUCUCAGGGUCAAGUUUUUGUUUGUUUGUUUUUUCCCCCUCAAUUCUGGAGGGGAACCCAGUGUAUAACCAAGAUAAGGGACACUUCAGUCGAAUCAGUUCUGCAGGCCACAAAUGCAUGUGAUCAAAGGUGGAGUGGGGAAGCUCUAGUAUAAAGAUGUAGAUGUGCAGAGUGCUUUGUGUGGUUUCAGCAAAACAGGAUGCUAACAACCUUGGCUGCAUUGGAUGUCCUGUACCUUGGCUGUAAGGAUUGUGUGCCCUAACUUUAUUUGUAUUUUAGGUGAAUAUACCAAGUAUAUAUAUGAGCAAACCAAGUUUUACACAACAUACUUUCAUAUUCCCCAUUCAACAAAAUUACUUUUUACAUUUCUACUAUAUUUCAUUUCCAGGUCUUUAUUUCCACAAACCUGCACCCAGGUUCAGGACCUCCAGUCCUACACAAAUCAUGUGAGCCUAGUGGAUUACCAGGCCAGAUCCUUCCUUACUCAGCUAACAAAUCUUACUUCCAGUUUAUUUCUAGCCCUCAAAAAAGCCCUCCUUUUUUGGUGGUUUUGGGUAGAUGAGAAGUGACUACUCUUAGUUGUCACUGUUGGCUUAGGUUUUCCUUUUCCUAGAAGUCAACUCCUUUCUCCCUUGGCUGUUAUUUCUAGAAGCGAGUUGGGAACUCAAGUCCUGUUAAGUUACCAAGAGCUAUCAGAGCCAGGACAAUUGAUGGGUAUUAAGAGUAGAGCCAAGAAGUCUCAAGUGGGUGCAACAGUUAUGUAUUAAGGGGAGCACAGUGAUGUCAAAGUGAUAAAAUCUUGUACUUUGGGGGGCAUGGGAGAGGAUCAUCAUUGACAUACAUACACUCACACCCCUCAACUGCCCAUGGAUUCCUCCAAGCUCAGGACCAAGUUUUUGGGCAAAGCUAAUCUAUGUUCUGGGUCCCUUCCCUCCCUUGCCUAGGCAAUCUGGUGUCCUUUCACAUCUGUCACUUUGCUUGCUCCUCCAUCUAGUGUUCUCAAUCUUUCUGGGCUCACAGCCCCUUUGAGGAUCUAAUGGAAGUUGUAAAGCCUCUUCCAAAGAAAUGCGGAUAGCACAUUCAGUUUUUUGUUCAUUUGUGGGAGCAUAUUGUUUCACUGAGGCCAGUUCUUGAAUUCUCUAGGGCCUAAAGUCACACCUGGGGAUUGUACUAUAUAAUUGCCAGAGGCAUUAAAAAAAAAAAAAAAAAAGAGGUCUAGAAGCUCUGGAUGUUCCCCCAAAACAACCUUUUAUAUCUUGCUUUUCCUGGAUUCCCUCCUUAAACAAAUUACAGCAUUAUCCAGCACCCAAACUGGAAAUCCAGGACAUAUUUCUGGCUUUCUGUGUAUCAUUCUUUAGCUACAACAGUACUUUUCACUCUGUGGCAAACAUGGUGCUAGUUCCUGGAGUCCAAAAGCAAACAAGGUCUACCAAAUCCUUCUGAUGUUUCAUAGGAAGCCUCUCUGGACCUUUUAACAUGAUUUACUAAAGUCUUCACAGUUUCUUUCCAACCUUAUCUUUCUACUUUCCAUGUACUUUUUACUGUAGACUGGAGGCAUGGGCUUGCUUUUCUCUGUGUCUUUGAUCACACUGUUUCCGGUGCUUAUUACCACCACCUCUUAUCCACCCCCCUGUCUACUGAGCCUAGCUUUAGAUUUCUUUUAAGAUUUGAUUCCAGUCUCAUCUUUGGGAGCCCUCUGACUGCCAUUUAGCAAGUAUAUAUUUAGAAGUAUGGAAGAGCAUAUGGUAGGUAUCUACUUUAUGCUUUAAAGUGAAAAAAAUGAAUUAAUAAUUGUGUAUAUAGUACAGUAAUCAUAUAAUGUUUCAUAUACUCUAUACUGUUAAAACAUAGCAGAUAAGUUAUAUGAAGGAAAUAUAAGAAAAUGUAAGUGGUUAAAUGACAUUCACAGCCAUACAGAUAGAUGGUAAACUACAGAACUUAGGCUCAAACCCAAUCCCAUAGAUUAUAGAAUUAUGGGUGAUUAAAAGUCAUUUUUAAAGUAAUUUCCACAUUAUCUAUAAGGAACAAGAAUUUUAUAAUCAGGAAGAGAAUAAAUUAUUAUAUUUACAUAUUUGGUUUUAUUGUUUAACUAUAAACAGUAUUUUAAAUCUGUAUUUUAAGAUGUGGGCUAUACCCUGCCAUUUCUUUCUCCUUCCCUUUCCACCUCUCUGCCUCUGCAAUGUAAAGUCUGAUUCUUGAACUCUAUUCUGUAACCAUAGUUAGUCCUUUAUGCUUUGUUUAUUGACUUGUUCUAAAAAUUGAAAAUAAACAGCAUGGAUGUUAUUAUGACCAUAUAAAUAUUGCAGAUCUAAGUAGCUUGCUGUGACUACACACACACACACACACACACACUGCAUUUUGUUUUUACUGUAGUUUUUAGUUGUCUUUCUUUUCCCCUUGUACUAAUGGCUUUUAGCAUACUCUGAGUGAUUUUCAGAUUCUCCAUUCAAUUAGGUACUCUGUUGAAUCCUCUUUUUUUCUCUUCAAGAGAUCUCUAGCUUCCUGCGGUGUUCUGUCCUUGACAUUUUCCUGCCCACUGUUCCAUUGUUAUACGGAAUUUCAUUGUGUCCUGAAUUGUACAUGUUUCUCUUUUUUCAUUAACUCCAUCAUUUCACUGCAGCAUACCUUCAAGUCACUUGCCAAGAAAGAGUAUAUGAAAGACAAAAUUAUUGAGGACUUAUAUAUCAAAAAACAUCUUUCUCUGUCCUCAAUCGUGAUUGGUACUUUGGUUCUGAAAUUUUACCUUGAAAAAUUUCCCCAGAACUUGUAGAUGCCUGGUUCCCAUCUGAUUUUUUAAAAAUUUUAUAUAAUUAUUUGUCAGAGAGAGCACAGACAGGGAGCAGCAGGCAGAGGGAGAAGAAGCACGCUCCCAGCUGAGCAAGGAGCCUGAUGUGGGACUUGAUCCCAGGACUCUGGAAUCAUGACCUGAGCUGAAGGUAGCCAUGUAACCAACUGAGUCCCUCCAGUCUGAUUCUUAUUUCUUUUACAGUAAAUACUACUUGCAUUACUAUGAUCCGUUCCCAAACCCCCAUGCCUGGAAGCUUUUAAAGUCACCUCUUUAUUCUUGGUGCACUCGAUUUCCCAGUAUACUCAGUGGAAUUUUUCAAUCUAGUGACCCAAGUUACUUUUAUUCUUGGAAAUUUUCUUGUGUUAUGUCAUAAUUCCCCCUUCCAUUUUUUCCCCUGUUUUUACUCUUUCUGAAAUUCCUGUCAAUCAAAUGUUGAAGCUUGUGGAUUGAUUCUCAACUGUUUUCUGUGUUAUUACCAUAUUCUUGUUUUGUGCUAUUUUCAGGGAGAAUACCUUCACUAUUUCUCAACCUGUUUAAUGAAUUUCUGAUUUUGGCAAUAAUUUCUAAAAAGCCUCCCCCCCCCCCCCGUUUGUUCCCUUUUUAUAGUAUACUAUUCUCAUUUUAGAGAUACCUUUUCUUAAAGGUUUCUCUGUUACCUGAUAUCUCACCCCUUCAUGCCCUUGCCCCUGAGUCCUUUUUUUUUUUUCUCUUUGUUUACUCUCAUUGGAGACUUUCCUUGAAUAUUUUGUGAUUCUUACUGACAGAUACAAAUAAAUCUCUGUGUAUGUAUCAAAAGUCCAAUUGAGAUCUCUGGGGGAGUGGGAUUUCCUCAGUUAAGAGGCAUCCUUCUCGAGUACUUGGUAGGGAGCAAACUCCCUGGAAACCUCCAAUGCCAGAAUGCUGUGAUCUUUUGUGUGGGGCUCAUCUGCUUCUUUAGCUGGAAAUCCUCUGCUGUUUUAAUCUGGGGUUUGGAUGACAUAAUGCUUCUUAAGGAGUGGGAGAGAAGAAAAUCAAGUGUUAUUAUAGACUUUUGAUUAAUGCACUUAUUUUUAGCCUCACUUUUCCCUCCCACCCUUAAUAUACCUGGGGUUUCCAACUGCCAAGUUGCUUUGGGAUUUGGCAGGGUAUGUCAGUGCAUUUUUCCAUCCUAUAGAGAUUUGUUCUCCUCAUCACAUUAUUAUUUAUACAUUUUAAGUCAUUAUAAUUCAUUAUCAUUUUAAGGGAAGUUAAAACAUUUUUAAAAAUGUUGAUAUGCUUGGAUAUAGUACUACCACCUAGCUAUCCUAAAAAUGAAUAUUUUGCCAGUGUUACUGUUUUACAAAAAAAAGAAGAACAAGAACAAGAACAAGAACGAAGAAAGCAACCCAAGUGAUUAGUGAUAGGAGAAUGAUUAAAUUAUGAUAUGCUUGAAUAUUAUGCAACCACUAAAAUCAUAAUUUAAAGGAUAUUUAGUAAUAUAAAAUAUUCCCAAUAUUAAAUGCUAAGUACAAAAUUAAAUGGUGGGUUCAGAUAGCCCAGUUUUCUUAAAUAUGCAAGCAUAGAAAAAACUAAAGACAGCAAUACAUGGCAUGGUUAAUGAUUAAAUUUUGCUGCUUUAUAUUUUCUUUUUUUUUUUUUUUUAAGAUUUAUUUAUUUGACAGAUCACAAGUAGGCAGAGAGACAGGCAGAGAGAGAGAGGAGGAAGCAGGCUCCCUGCCGAGCAGAGAGCCUGACUCGAGGCUCGAUCCCAAGACCCUGGGAUCAUGACCUGAGCCAAAGGCAGAGGCUUUAACCCACUGAGCCACUCAGGCGCCCCAUCUGUAUUUUCUACAAUAUACCUCAAUUACUUUUAUGAUCAGGAGGAGAAAAGCUAAUAAAAAAAAAAAAAGCAAGAUCAUGGUCAUACAGAGUGAUGAGAAAAUUUCGGGGAGUUUGGUAGUUGAGAUGCAGAAUAAGAAAUGGGAAUAAAGAGACCAGUUACCAAGGACCUAAUGGUGGACAGAGUUCAUUCAGGGAAUAUGUAUAACCACACUGAUUGUGACAUAUAGUUGUGGCUGGAGUGUGGAGGCUAGGGUGGUGAGGGGAGAAGAGAGUCCUGGAGAUCAUACAGAUAGCUUUUGUCAGACUACAAGGAAGAUUCUGACUCAGGCGGUAUUGGGGCCAGAAUAAAAGGCACAGAUGGAAUGAGCAGGCCUUUGAGGCAUGAAAGAUCAAGCAGCAAAUCCCUAAGCCGGAAAUCAGCCUCCACACUCUGGUGAAACAUGACUUGUGACCCAUCAUUUCUGGCCCAGGCCUGAGAAGCCCUGGCUUCCUUGUGACUCUCUGGGGCCACCCUUUGUUCACAGUGGGAAAUGCAUUUGCAAUUUCAAUCAAAAUACCAAAAAAUAACUACUCUUUAUCAACUUAACCUGCAAGGGAUAAGUUGCCCCUGUAGGGCAGGGGUUUGGGAGAAGCAACUUAAGUCCUAGUAGUAGCAAGGUUGUAACCACCCCAUUGUUGAGGGGUUUCUGUGUGGGAGGCUAAAUGCCAAAUAUUCUUUAUUUGAUUUAGUUCUCACCUGAGGAGGGGAUUUCUUUUUAUAAUCCCUACUUUCAAGAGUGUUGUUCACAGUCAAUGUUAGAAUAACUCUGGGCCAAAGCCUUUGCCCCUUUCUUCCAGGCUACUUUCUCAAUGUCCCUCCAAAGACCCUUCUCAUCAAAAUUUACAAAAGGAAACGACAGAGAGUAAGUAAGUCUUCCUUCUAUCCUAGAGCACUCCAGGUUAGGAAUACUCUGGAAAUAACUGUUGGAAAUUUCUUGAUCUUCCAGAGAGAGUCCUUGCAUUUACAGUCUUCUGUAUCUCCCUUUAAACACACUCAUAAACUGGAGCUUAGGAUAUGGACUGUCUACACCUUGUUUUGUUUUUAAUUUAGUGUGUCUUGGAGAUGGUUCUAUAUUAGCCUAUAAGAUCUACGUCAUUCUUUCUUUUUUCUUUGCUGUGUGAUAGUGAAUUGUAUGGAUGUACCAUGAUUCAUGUAGCAUAUCCUGUUGGUAGAGCACAUAGGUUCUUUUCUAUUUUUUGUUUUACAAACAAUGCCAUGCUGAAUAAUCUGGCAUACCAUCUUGUGUGUGUGACUUUCCAGGGUAAAUUGAUAAAGGGUAGUUAUUUCUGGCAUUUUGAUUGAAAUUGCAAAUGCAUUUCCCAGUAUGUGUGUAAAAAUUCCCAUUUCCAUGAGUCUUCUCUAAAACUAUUGUGUUUUGGUCUGGCAAGUAAAAACUUCUCUCAUGCUUUAUUUUGUGUUCAGUUAUGAGUGAAACUGGAUAUCGUGUCAGGUAUUUACAAAGUCUUGUGUUUCUUUUUUCUGUCAUUUGCUUGUUCAUGCUCUUUAGAAGUUUUUUGUUGAGUUGUUGAUCCUUGUAAGAAUUGGUUUGUAUGAGUACAGCAUCCUUUCUUGAUUAAAACUUCAUAAGUGUAGGGAUAUACAUACCUCAGUAUCAUAAAAGCCAUCUGUGAAAAACCCACAGUGAGUAUCAUUCUCAAUGGAGAAAAACAGAGCAUUUCCCCUAAGGUCAGGAACACAGCAGGGAUGUCUACUCAUCACUCUGUUCAACAUAGUACUAGAAGUCCUAGCCUCAGCAUCACACAACAAAAAGAAAGAAAAAGACAUCCAGAUCACCAAAGAAGUAGUAAAACUCUCACUCUUUGCAGAUAAUACGAUUAUCUACAAACCAAAACCAAAAGACUCUACCCCAAAAUUGCUGGAAUUCAUACAGGAAUUCAGAAAAGUGGCAGGAUAUAAAAUCAAUGCACAGAAAUCAGUGCAUUUCUCUACCAACAAUGACAGGAGAAAGAGAAAUUAAAGAAUUAAUCCCAUUUGCGAUUGCAUCCAAAAUCACAAGAUGUCUAGGAAUAAAUCUAACCAAAGAGCAAAAGAUCUGUACUCAGAAAACUAGAGAAAAGUCAUGAAAGAAAUUGGGAAAGACACAAAGAAAUGCAAAAAUGUUCCAUGCUCAUGGAUGGGAAGAAUAAAUAUUGUUAAAGUGUCUAUGCUAACCUAAAGCAGUCUGCACAUUCAAUGUAAUCCCUAUGAAAAUACCAUCAACUUUUUUCACAGAACUGGAACAAAUAAUUCUAAAAUUUGUAUGGAACCAGAAAAGACCCCAGAUAGCCAAAGGAAUGUUGAGAAAAAGAAAGCCAAAUAUGGUGGCUUCACUAUUCUGGACUUCAAAUUCUAUUACAAAGUUGCAAUCAUCAAGACAGUAUGAUACUGACACAAAAAUAGACACAUAGAUCAAUGCAACAGAAUAGAGAACUGAGAAGAGUACUCUCAACUCAGUGGUUAACUAAUCUUUGGCAAAUCAAGAAAGAAUAUCCAAUGGGAAAAAAAAGACAGUCUCUUCAACAAAUGGUGUUGGGAAAAUUGGACAGCCAAAUGCAGAGUGAAUCUGGACCAUUUUCUUACACCAUACACAAAAGUAGACUCAAAAUGGAUGAAAAAUCCUCAAUGUGAGACAGGUAGUCAUCAAAAUCCUUGAAGAGAACAUAGGCAGCAACCUCUUUGAUCUUGGCCAUUCAGUCUCUUGCUAGGCACAUCUCCAAAGGCAAGAGAAACAGACAAAAUGAACUUUUGGGACUUCAUCAAGAUAAAAAGCUUCUGUACAACAAAGGAAACAGUCAAUAAAACUAAAAGACAACUGACAGAAUAGAAAAGAUAUUUGCAAGUGACGUAUCAGAUAAAGGGCUAGUAUCCAAUAUCUAUAAAUAACUUUCAUACUCAACACCCAAAGAACAAAUAACCCAGUCAAGAAAUGGACAAAAGACAUGAACAGACAUUUCUCCAAAGAAGACAACCAAAUGGCCAACAGACAUAUGAAAACAUGCUCAACAUCACUCAGCAUCAGGCCCAGCAAGAAGAACCAAGCUGCAGAACCACAAAGAUGAAGACCCUUCUUGGCUUCCUUGAACUUCUGGGUGAAACCCUGCAGUCAGAUACUUCCUUCCCAGUAGGAGUGGGGGUACACUCCAGCAAUCCAAGCUGAGGUCAGCCAAGGUCUGUGAUGGGCCCAUUGGUGCCACCCCCUUGCACUCUGGUUAAUGGAGGGUAGGGAUAACGGGAGGGAGCGAAAUGGAAUAGAAAUGCUGGGGUUGGGGGAGGAGAGGCCUCAUUCAUGGGCAAGGGAGAGGGAGGACCAAGUACUGUGCAGGCAGGGGCAUGUUGGAAGUGAAGUGGGGACGCAGCCUGAGGUCAGUGAGGGGACAGAGUAGUCUGCAACUGAGGUGAGGGAUGGAGGGAAUGUUGGGGGCGGGGCCAGGGCCCGCUGGAGGAGAAUCCCAAUGGGUGGGAAGAGUGAAGACAUGGAGUGGGUGGUGGGUAAGUAAAGGGGUCAGUGGGGUGGUGUGAGGGGUUGGGGAGUAGGGGGUUAGAAAAGAAGCUCAUCCCAGAGCAAGGGAAGCUUCCUUUAAGACUUGAGCCCGCAGCCACGCUGAUUCCUCUGGCCUUGGGUUGUUGGGGCAGGAACCACUUUGUACAAUUGGGGGAAAGACGAUUCUCUUGAACUUCCUAGUAGGUAAAAGGGCAUUCUAGACUGGCAGUGUCUCUCACUUACUUGCCACCCUAACCACUCCAAACAUCAGUCCUCUCUUCACUCCCUCCAAGCUAGUGUGAGGCUGGCAUAAAUGAAGGAUUUGAAAAGAUUGUAUGUCUUCUUUGGUUCAUGUCUUCUGCCCAUUUUGACAUGAUUAUCAGUUUUUUGAGUGUUGAGUUUGAUGAGUUCUUUUAUACACCUCGGAUAUCA